CUGGGCGUUGCUAUCAAAGUUCUCUGCUGACUUCACUCCUGAGAGCUCUGCCCUGUCACCAAUGGUGCUGGAAAAAAGGAAGAAGGAAAAUACCAGGGGAGGUGACGACUGCCACCUACUGUCCCUGCUCCAUUCACAUGACUUCAGUGCAUGUCGUGAGGCUGCCUGUGGGCUCGAGCCCAGUAAUCUGAGAACCGUGAGAAGAAGCUGUUUAAACGUCACCCAGCUUUUGCACGGUUUGAAUCAAAUAAACAGUGCUGUCCAGAGGCGGAAACUAACGUCUUGAAAACGGAAGGAUCUCAUCCAGCUUCUAGAAAAGAGCCGAAAUUCUUGAUUUGGGGGACAGUCCGCAGAAGCUGGCUGGGGUGCACACAGGAGUACUCGCCAAUUACAAAGGAAGGAACAGGGAGAACCUUAGCGGUCUCCGCCUCAGGAAGUUAGAAGUUGUAACUGGCUUUAAAGAUGCUAAUGGAGCACGACUGGCCAAUUGAUGCCAAAGGCCCAGCGUCCCUGCCUCACGGGAGGAAAGUGGUCAGAACAUGUUCUCUCUGUGAAGCGUUCCAAUGACUGUUCCCACUGAACUUGCCUCUGGCUGUUGCACACGUCCUCUGGAGCCUCCACCUCCCACGAGGAGGGGGCCGUGCUCGGGGCUGCCUGGCCGCAGAGGAGCUCGCUCAGCAGGACCUGCUGGGAUGGACGCGGAUGAAAGGACAGCAGAGCCUGGCUGGCGGCUGCCUCCCGUUGGCCUGAAAUAUCUCUCUCGCCGCACUUUGAAGAACCAGAGGCCCAGGCAGAGUUGUUCUGAUUCGGGCUGCUUCAAAGACAUGCAUGAAACAUCAAUCUUUAUCAGGGGCCUUUUGGAAAAGAUGUGGCAGAUGGUAGGACACAGGCUUGUCCUCAAGAAAAUACAGGGACUCAGUCAAACUUUAUGUUGUUCCAUUUCCAUUGCCCUCACUCACCCAACCAGGACCUUCAUACUGAAGUCUCUCUCUCUAGAAGGAAAUUCAAGGGCCCUGGCCUGGCCCACCUUCCUCUCUGUGGCCAAUGCCCCUAGUCCUGUCGUGUUCAUGCCUUCUGUUCCGUGGGAAUAUAGCCCCCAGAUAAUUUUGUCAGAUGUGAUAGGCUAAGUACAGCCCCAAAGAUGUGCAGAUUCAAAUCCCUUCGAACGUGUGACUAUUCCCUGAUUUGGCAAAGAGACUUUGCAGGUAAUUGAAUUCAGGGUCUUGAGAUGGAGAUUAUCCUGGAUUGUCCACAUGGGCCCUAAAUGCCCCUGCGGUGUCCUUAAGAGGGAUGUUUGACGGCACGGAGGCAGAGGGUGGCUGACCGCUGGGCUGCUGGACGCGGGGCGGGGGAGGGGCUGGAGCCGAGCAGCCGGAGAGGUUAGAAGAAGGAGGAGGUGGGUUUCCCACAGUCCAGGAGGGAGGGCAUACUUUUGGUCCAGUACUUCUGAUUGUAGACUUCCAACCUCCAGAAUGAUACAAGAAUGAAUACGCGUUGUCUGAAGCCGCCUAGUCCGUGGUCCUUUGUUACGGCAGCACUGGAAGUUCUUACAGGGGCCAAGUGUCUGCCAAGAGCAAAGGGGAUGGUGCUCAGCUGCUUUUGUAGCUCUUGGCCGUCGUGCCAGGUUCGGAUGGAUGAGACACACCUGCAAGCAUGGUGCCAACGUCUGGAAAGUCUGCUUAAAGAAGGGGUCUGACUUCUCUGUUCUUCUUCCUGCCCACUAUGCUGACAUGUUCUCUGGACGCCGGCAGCCAUCUGGGACCACGAGAUGCAUUUGGGAAUGAAGUCUGCACAUGGUGCAUCAGCAAGAGGAGAUAAGCAUGGCAGCAAAC
Non-coding RNA from Kogia breviceps (pygmy sperm whale), 1832 nucleotides. The record is from RefSeq and is a predicted model, not a curated record. Lineage: Eukaryota; Metazoa; Chordata; Mammalia; Artiodactyla; Physeteridae.